This 207-nucleotide ribosomal RNA is filed under the name uncultured bacterium. Its description in RNAcentral is "partial 16S ribosomal RNA". It matches the Rfam family "Bacterial small subunit ribosomal RNA", at positions 1289 to 1500 of the family's 1533-position model. The record is from RNAcentral.
CAGUUCGGAUCGGAGUCUGCAACCCGACUCCAUGAAGCUGGAUUCGCUAGUAAUCGCGCAUCAGCCACGGCGCGGUGAAUACGUUCCCGGGCCUUGUACACACCGCCCGUCAAGCCAUGGAAGGCCGGGAGUGCCUGAAGUGUGCAACCGCAAGGACGCGCCCUAAGGUAAAAACCGGUGACUGGGGCUAAGUCGUAACAAGGUACC